Molecule: transfer RNA, 77 nt
Filed under: Verrucomicrobiota bacterium
Lineage: Bacteria; Pseudomonadati; Verrucomicrobiota
Also listed under: 2 other names
Description: Verrucomicrobia bacterium tRNA-Pro
Rfam family: tRNA
About the family: Transfer RNA (tRNA) molecules are approximately 80 nucleotides in length. Their secondary structure includes four short double-helical elements and three loops (D, anti-codon, and T loops).
Source: RNAcentral
CGGGGUGUAGCGCAGCCUGGUAGCGCGCGUCGUUCGGGACGACGAGGUCGUGAGUUCGAGUCUCACCACCCCGACCA